RNAcentral lists this ribosomal RNA (229 nucleotides) under uncultured bacterium. RNAcentral describes it as "partial 16S ribosomal RNA". It matches the Rfam family "Bacterial small subunit ribosomal RNA", at positions 104 to 334 of the family's 1533-position model. The record is from RNAcentral.
CGGGGUGAGUAAUGCUUGGGAAUCUAGCUUAUGGAGGGGGAUAACUACGGGAAACUGUAGCUAAUACCGCGUAGAAUCGGGAGAUGAAAGUGUGGGACCUUCGGGCCACACGCCAUAGGAUGAGCCCAAGUGGGACUAGGUAGUUGGUGAGGUAAAGGCUCACCAAGCCGACGAUCUCUAGCUGGUCUGAGAGGAUGACCAGCCACACUGGGACUGAGACACGGCCCAG